RNAcentral lists this ribosomal RNA (253 nucleotides) under uncultured bacterium. RNAcentral describes it as "partial 16S ribosomal RNA". It matches the Rfam family "Bacterial small subunit ribosomal RNA", at positions 524 to 776 of the family's 1533-position model. The record is from RNAcentral.
UACGGGGGGGGUAAGCGUUGUUCGGAAUUACUGGGCGUAAAGGGCUCGUAGGCGGCUUGUUAAGUCAGGGGUGAAAUCCUGGAGCUCAACUCCAGAACUGCCUUUGAUACUGGCGAGCUUGAGUCCGGGAGAGGUGAGUGGAACUGCGAGUGUAGAGGUGAAAUUCGUAGAUAUUCGCAAGAACACCAGUGGCGAAGGCGGCUCACUGGCCCGGUACUGACGCUGAGGUGCGAAAGCGUGGGGAGCAAACAGG